This 523-nucleotide ribosomal RNA is filed under the name uncultured bacterium. Its description in RNAcentral is "bacterial SSU rRNA". It matches the Rfam family "Bacterial small subunit ribosomal RNA", at positions 777 to 1299 of the family's 1533-position model. The record is from RNAcentral.
AAUAGACACCCGGGUAGUCCACGCCGUAAACGAUGAGUGCUAAGUGUUGGAGGGUUUCCGCCCUUCAGUGCUGCAGCUAACGCAUUAAGCACUCCGCCUGGGGAGUACGGUCGCAAGACUGAAACUCAAAGGAAUUGACGGGGGCCCGCACAAGCGGUGGAGCAUGUGGUUUAAUUCGAAGCAACGCGAAGAACCUUACCAGGUCUUGACAUCUCCUGACCGCCCUGGAGACAGGGUCUUCCCUUCGGGGACAGGAUGACAGGUGGUGCAUGGUUGUCGUCAGCUCGUGUCGUGAGGUGUUGGGUUAAGUCCCGCAACGAGCGCAACCCUUGGUUCUAGUUGCCAGCAUUCAGUUGGGCACUCUAGAGCGACUGCCGGCGACAAGUCGGAGGAAGGUGGGGAUGACGUCAAAUCAUCAUGCCCCUUAUGACCUGGGCUACACACGUGCUACAAUGGAUGGUACAAAGGGCAGCGAAGCGGCGACGCAUUAGCGAAUCCCAGAAAACCAUUCUCAGUUCGGAUU